UAGGUGUUGUUCCCCCGAGGUUCGCCUACGGAAGUCCCCAGCGACGACUCAAAACAAGUGCUCCGAGUCUGCCUCCGGGCGGGCGACGCCUUCCUUCUGCCCUGGGAGUGCCCUCCACCGGGCCCACCAGCAGCUUUUGCAAGCUCACAGAUCAGACGAAUGCGGUCACUGCGGUGGUUUUGAUAUGACCGGCCGUGGCUGUCACCAGCCAUUGACGUUGCGGAACCUGCGGAAGGAUCAUUACAGAGAGGGGCUUCGCGCUCCAGGGGACCCCGGUCCCCGCCUCUACACCCUGUGAUUACCUUACCUCUUGUUGCCUUGGCGGGGGGUACCCCGCCAGCAGCCCACCGAAACUCGUUUGAUCCAUGUCCGUCCGAACCGAAUUCAUAAUGAAUCAAAACUUUCAACAACGGAUCUCUUGGUUCUGGCAUCGAUGAAGAACGCAGCGAAAUGCGAUAAGUAAUGUGAAUUGCAGAAUUCAGUGAAUCAUCGAAUCUUUGAACGCACAUUGCGCCCCUCGGUAUUCCGGGGGGCAUGCCUGUUCGAGCGUCAUUACACCAUUCAAGCGUAGCUUGGUAUUGGGUCCUUCGCCCGGGGUCCCCCCCGCGGCGUGCCCGAAAAGCAUUGGCGGUCCGGUGUGACUUGAAGCGCAGUAAAUUUUCUCCCGCUUUGCAAGCCUCGCGCUGUGGCCGGCCAGACAACCCCAUUUAUCUCACGAUUGACCUCGGAUCAGGUAGGGAUACCCGCUG
Molecule: ribosomal RNA, 749 nt
Filed under: Ramalina sphaerophora
Lineage: Eukaryota; Fungi; Ascomycota; Lecanoromycetes; Lecanorales; Ramalinaceae
Description: eukaryotic LSU rRNA
Rfam family: 5.8S ribosomal RNA (bases 399-552)
Source: RNAcentral